GAUGAACGCUGGCGGCGUGCCUAAUACAUGCAAGUCGAGCGAACGGACGAGAAGCUUGCUUUUCUGAUGUUAGCGGCGGACGGGUGAGUAACACGUGGAUAACCUACCUAUAAGACUGGGAUAACUUCGGGAAACCGGAGCUAAUACCGGAUAAUAUUUUGAACCGCAUGGUUCAAAAGUGAAAGACGGUCUUGCUGUCACUUAUAGAUGGAUCCGCGCUGCAUUAGCUAGUUGGUAAGGUAACGGCUUACCAAGGCAACGAUGCAUAGCCGACCUGAGAGGGUGAUCGGCCACACUGGAACUGAGACACGGUCCAGACUCCUACGGGAGGCAGCAGUAGGGAAUAUUCCGCAAUGGGCGCAAGCCUGACGGAGCAACGCCGCGUGAGUGAUGAAGGUCUUCGGAUCGUAAAACUCUGUUAUUAGGGAAGAACAUAUGUGUAAGUAACUGUGCACAUCUUGACGGUACCUAAUCAGAAAGCAACGGCUAACUACGUG
This 497-nucleotide ribosomal RNA is filed under the name uncultured bacterium. RNAcentral's name for it is "partial 16S ribosomal RNA". It matches the Rfam family "Bacterial small subunit ribosomal RNA", at positions 28 to 507 of the family's 1533-position model. The record is from RNAcentral.